This 65-nucleotide transfer RNA is filed under the name Bradyrhizobium sp. RNAcentral describes it as "tRNA-Leu". It matches the Rfam family "tRNA", at positions 5 to 66 of the family's 71-position model. From Rfam's summary of the family: Transfer RNA (tRNA) molecules are approximately 80 nucleotides in length. Lineage: Bacteria; Pseudomonadati; Pseudomonadota; Alphaproteobacteria; Hyphomicrobiales; Nitrobacteraceae. The record is from RNAcentral.
GGAUAGCUCAGUGGUAGAGCAGGUGAUUGAGAUUCAUCAUGUCGCGGGUUCGACUCCCGUUCCAA